This 672-nucleotide long non-coding RNA is filed under the name Lactuca sativa (garden lettuce). RNAcentral's name for it is "long non-coding RNA (LSAT_LNC001831)". Lineage: Eukaryota; Viridiplantae; Streptophyta; Magnoliopsida; Asterales; Asteraceae. The record is from RNAcentral.
UCAUUCACGAAGCCGGUCUAUAAGGUGGGUAUAAGGUUGCGGCCUAUAAAAUGGCGCUUAAUGGGUGUACACUCACACCCACCGCUUGCUUGAUCGGUGGAGGGUCGUUAGCCGAACGGGUAGGAUAGGGCAAACUCUCUCUUCUCAUUAAUAAGUAUAAUGAACAUAUAAAGUAACUAAACUAUUUUCUAAAAUCCCCAAUCCUAGUUACUUUAGGAAAAAUGAAUUGAUGCAAUCCUAUGAAAUUACACUUUGCACCCUUGACUAGAAGUUAGUGGAGCAUGUGUGGUUUACCGGUACUCAAAUUGGUUCUAAGCAUAGGUGGCAAAGGGUGAUUCAUUGUUUAUCAUAGUUCGGUGGAGCGUGUGUGGUUUACCGGCACACUAAUUGGUUCUAAGCAAAGGUGGCAAAGGGUGAUUCAUUGUUUAUCAUAGUUCGAUGGAGCGUGUGUGGUUUACCGGCACAUCGAAUAGGUGAUUGUUACAAUGAAGGCACCAUGUGAAUUUGCAUGGUAAUUCACACCCACUUUGUGAUCCUCGGUAUCCCAGUCACAAACGAGAGGGGCAUAUCGAGAUUUAAACAUGCCAUUGAAAAGUUCAAUGAAUCUCAUCGAAACCUAGGAAUUCUCAAUACAUUUAGAACUUAAGGUUAUGUUUUGUGAUGGAGAAUUAG